This 254-nucleotide ribosomal RNA is filed under the name uncultured bacterium. Its description in RNAcentral is "partial 16S ribosomal RNA". It matches the Rfam family "Bacterial small subunit ribosomal RNA", at positions 524 to 776 of the family's 1533-position model. The record is from RNAcentral.
UACGUAGGAGGCGAGCGUUGUCCGGAAUUACUGGGCGUAAAGAGCGCGUAGGCGGCGCGGUACGACCGCUGUGAAAGCCCCCAGCUCAACUGGGGAGGGUCAGCGGUAACGGCCGUGCUAUGAGUGCAGGAGAGGGAAGUGGAACUCCGGGAGUAGCGGCGAAAUGCGUAGAGACCCGGAGGAACACCAGUGGCGAAGGCGGCUUCCUGGUCUGCGACUGACGCUGUGGCGCGAAAGCUAGGGGAGCAAACGGG